UACGGGGGGGGCAAGCGUUGUUCGGAAUUACUGGGCGUAAAGGGCUCGUAGGCGGCCAACUAAGUCAGACGUGAAAUCCCUCGGCUUAACCGGGGAACUGCGUCUGAUACUGGAUGGCUUGAGGUUGGGAGAGGGAUGCGGAAUUCCAGGUGUAGCGGUGAAAUGCGUAGAUAUCUGGAGGAACACCGGUGGCGAAGGCGGCAUCCUGGACCAGCACUGACACUGAGGCACGAAAGCGUGGGGAGCAAACAGG
Molecule: ribosomal RNA, 253 nt
Filed under: uncultured bacterium
Lineage: Bacteria
Description: partial 16S ribosomal RNA
Rfam family: Bacterial small subunit ribosomal RNA
Source: RNAcentral